CGGGAAUGAAUGUGCUCAAUGUAUCUUUAGGGCUUGAUCUAUUUAAAGCAUUUGCGCGAGAGAGAAAUCAGCAGACGCAUCAGGACUGAAUGUUCUUGGCAGUGUAGUGUAAAUUUUGGUAAGGUUAUAGUCACACCAAUGUAAAUCAGAAGACAGAGGUAUGUUCUAAGUGUUGUUAGCCUCUAGACUGUGGUGACAACCCAUAUAUGUAACCUGUUAUGUAUGAUGAAUUUGUCUCGCCGAAAGAUUCUCUGGCUACGCCAGCAUUAGUGGAAUUACAUCAUGACUUACAUAGACAACCCGACCUGGAUCCACCAUUUGCACAGAUUUUUUAAAGUAGAAAGCAAAGGAAGUGUUUGUAUUGUUUAGCCCUUCACCUAAUGUACUAACAGAUGCUUAGGCGACUUUUUUGCAAGCCUUAAUUUCUUUUUGGCUUACUGUUUCUAUUUAAUGUUUCAUUGUGAAUGUUAUUUGUGCAUGGUUUUUGAUACUUAUUCUUCAACACAUUUCUUUCACUUGUGAGUUUUGUAGCACGGGAGGUAUGUACCUUGUAGCAGGGAAUGAAUGUGCUCAAUGUAUCUUUAGGGCUUGAUCUAUUUAAAGCAUUUGCGCGAGAGAGAAAUCAGCAGACGCAUCAGGACUGAAUGUUCUUGGCAGUGUAGUGUAAAUUUUGGUAAGGUUAUAGUCACACCAAUGUAAAUCAGAAGACAGAGGUAUGUUCUAAGUGUUGUUAGCCUCUAGACUGUGGUGACAACCCAUAUAUGUAACCUGUUAUGUAUGAUGAAUUUGUCUCGCCGAAAGAUUCUCUGGCUACGCCAGCAUUAGUGGAAUUACAUCAUGACUUACAUAGACAACCCGACCUGGAUCCACCAUUUGCACAGAUUUUUUAAAGUAGAAAGCAAAGGAAGUGUUUGUAUUGUUUAGCCCUUCACCUAAUGUACUAACAGAUGCUUAGGCGACUUUUUUGCAAGCCUUAAUUUCUUUUUGGCUUACUGUUUCUAUUUAAUGUUUCAUUGUGAAUGUUAUUUGUGCAUGGUUUUUGAUACUUAUUCUUCAACACAUUUCUUUCACUUGUGAGUUUUGUAGCACGGGAGGUAUGUGCCUUGUAGCAGGGAAAAAAGCGUGAGUACACAGUACCAUGUAGAUACCAAAUGUCAGGAAAAAAAAAAGAGUCUGAGUACAUUGUAAACUGAAAAUACUAAUCUCUAACAAAUAUG
This 1217-nucleotide long non-coding RNA is filed under the name Triticum aestivum (bread wheat). Its description in RNAcentral is "long non-coding RNA (TAES_LNC026158)". The record is from RNAcentral. Lineage: Eukaryota; Viridiplantae; Streptophyta; Magnoliopsida; Poales; Poaceae.